CUCAAUGAAAAUAAAUAGCCGCAAUACUCUUGUGCUAAGGUAGCAUAAUCAUUUGUUUUUUAAUUAAAAACUAGAACGAAAGAUUUAAUAUUUUUAUUACUAUCUUAUAUAUAUAAAUAUAAUUUAUUCUAAAUAUAAAAAAAUAUUUAUUCAUUAAAAAGACGACAAGACCCUAUUGAACUUUACUAAAGUUUAACUGGGGUAGUUAAUUAAAUAUUAUUUUAAUUCAAAUUUCUAAACAAACCUUAUAUAAUCAAAAUAAUUAAGUUACCAUAGGGAUAACAGCGCAAUAAUUUUAUCAAGAUCUUAUUUAAAAAUUUGUUUGCGACCUCGAUGUUGAAUUAUUUAUCUAUUAAAUGCAAUAAUUUUAUAACGAAAGUCUGUUCGACUU
RNAcentral lists this ribosomal RNA (391 nucleotides) under Papiliocoelotes jiepingensis. Its description in RNAcentral is "partial 16S ribosomal RNA". The record is from RNAcentral. Lineage: Eukaryota; Metazoa; Arthropoda; Arachnida; Araneae; Agelenidae.